RNAcentral lists this ribosomal RNA (416 nucleotides) under uncultured Mycobacterium sp. RNAcentral describes it as "bacterial SSU rRNA". It matches the Rfam family "Bacterial small subunit ribosomal RNA", at positions 55 to 487 of the family's 1533-position model. The record is from RNAcentral. Lineage: Bacteria; Bacillati; Actinomycetota; Actinomycetes; Mycobacteriales; Mycobacteriaceae.
AUGCAAGUCGAACGGAAAGGCCCUUCGGGGUACUCGAGUGGCGAACGGGUGAGUAACACGUGGGUGAUCUGCCCUGCACUUUGGGAUAAGCCUGGGAAACUGGGUCUAAUACCGGAUAUACCUCAUGGACUGCAUGGUUUGUGGGGGAAAGCUUUUGCGGUGUGGGAUGGGCCCGCGGCCUAUCAGCUUGUUGGUGAGGUUAUGGCUUACCAAGGCGACGACGGGUAGCCGGCCUGAGAGGGUGACCGGCCACACUGGGACUGAGAUACGGCCCAGACUCCUACGGGAGGCAGCAGUGGGGAAUAUUGCACAAUGGGCGCAAGCCUGAUGCAGCGACGCCGCGUGAGGGAUGACGGCCUUCGGGUUGUAAACCUCUUUCAGUAGGGACGAAGCGAAAGUGACGGUACCUGCAGAAG